GACGAACGCUGGCGGCGUGCUUAACACAUGCAAGUCGAACGGAAAGGCCCUGCUUUUGUGGGGUGCUCGAGUGGCGAACGGGUGAGUAACACGUGAGUAACCUGCCCUUGACUUUGGGAUAACUUCAGGAAACUGGGGCUAAUACCGGAUAGGAGCUCCUGCUGCAUGGUGGGGGUUGGAAAGUUUCGGCGGUUGGGGAUGGACUCGCGGCUUAUCAGCUUGUUGGUGGGGUAGUGGCUUACCAAGGCUUUGACGGGUAGCCGGCCUGAGAGGGUGACCGGCCACAUGGGACUGAGAUACGGCCCAGACUCCUACGGGAGGCAGCAGUGGGGAAUAUUGCACAAUGGGCGGAAGCCUGAUGCAGCAACGCCGCGUGCGGGAUGACGGCCCUCGGGUUGUAAACCGCUUUCGCCUGUGACGAAGCGUGAGUGACGGUAAUGGGUAAAGAAGCACCGGCUAACUACGUG
Molecule: ribosomal RNA, 467 nt
Filed under: uncultured bacterium
Lineage: Bacteria
Description: partial 16S ribosomal RNA
Rfam family: Bacterial small subunit ribosomal RNA
Source: RNAcentral